CUAAGGAGCACUUCUACGCUGGUCGGUUCGAAGAGUCGUCCUCGACCGCGUCAGAGACCGUUUAGUCCCCGUCUGUGGGACUGCGGACGCUCAUGGGUGGAACGCUGACAAGUUUCAUCGCACUCGAUCGGGACUGUGUUCCUGGACGCGGUGGAUAUACCGACACACUAUUGGGUCCUGAAAGAACAGACGUUCUUUCCAGGCAAGAUAACGAUCCGCUCGGAUCUCCUUGAUACCGCAGGGUUUUGGUUCUGUUGGUCUUGGAUGAGGGUUUGAGUGGGUGUGUUGUUUGAGAACUGCACAGUGGACGCGAGCAUCUUUGUUAGUAAGUGUUUAAGAGCGUAC
This 345-nucleotide unclassified non-coding RNA is filed under the name Nocardia brasiliensis. Its description in RNAcentral is "16S-23S ribosomal RNA intergenic spacer". Lineage: Bacteria; Bacillati; Actinomycetota; Actinomycetes; Mycobacteriales; Nocardiaceae. The record is from RNAcentral.